RNAcentral lists this ribosomal RNA (387 nucleotides) under uncultured bacterium. RNAcentral's name for it is "bacterial SSU rRNA". It matches the Rfam family "Bacterial small subunit ribosomal RNA", at positions 64 to 499 of the family's 1533-position model. The record is from RNAcentral.
GAGCGCCCCGCAAGGGGAGCGGCAGACGGGUGAGUAACGCGUGGGAAUCUACCCAUCCCUACGGAACAACUCCGGGAAACUGGAGCUAAUACCGUAUACGCCCUUCGGGGGAAAGAUUUAUCGGGGAUGGAUGAGCCCGCGUUGGAUUAGCUAGUUGGUGGGGUAAAGGCCUACCAAGGCGACGAUCCAUAGCUGGUCUGAGAGGAUGAUCAGCCACAUUGGGACUGAGACACGGCCCAAACUCCUACGGGAGGCAGCAGUGGGGAAUAUUGGACAAUGGGCGCAAGCCUGAUCCAGCCAUGCCGCGUGAGUGAUGAAGGUCUUAGGAUUGUAAAGCUCUUUCACCGGAGAAGAUAAUGACGGUAUCCGGAGAAGAAGCCCCGGCUA